Molecule: ribosomal RNA, 247 nt
Filed under: uncultured Hydrogenophaga sp.
Lineage: Bacteria; Pseudomonadati; Pseudomonadota; Betaproteobacteria; Burkholderiales; Comamonadaceae
Description: partial 16S ribosomal RNA
Rfam family: Bacterial small subunit ribosomal RNA
Source: RNAcentral
GUAGGGUGCGAGCGUUAAUCGGAAUUACUGGGCGUAAAGCGUGCGCAGGCGGUUUUGUAAGACAGGCGUGAAAUCCCCGGGCUCAACCUGGGAAUUGCGCUUGUGACUGCAAGGCUGGAGUGCGGCAGAGGGGGAUGGAAUUCCGCGUGUAGCAGUGAAAUGCGUAGAUAUGCGGAGGAACACCGAUGGCGAAGGCAAUCCCCUGGGCCUGCACUGACGCUCAUGCACGAAAGCGUGGGGAGCAAAC